RNAcentral lists this non-coding RNA (253 nucleotides) under uncultured bacterium. RNAcentral's name for it is "partial 16S ribosomal RNA". It matches the Rfam family "Bacterial small subunit ribosomal RNA", at positions 524 to 776 of the family's 1533-position model. The record is from RNAcentral. RNAcentral also lists the same sequence under 1 other name.
UACAGAGGGUGCAAGCGUUAAUCGGAAUUACUGGGCGUAAAGCGUGCGUAGGCGGACUUUUAAGUCAGAUGUGAAAGCCCUGGGCUUAACCUAGGAAUUGCAUAUGAUACUGGGAGACUAGAGUAUAGCAGAGGAUAGUGGAAUUUCUGGUGUAGCGGUGAAAUGCGUAGAUAUCAGAAGGAACACCAGUGGCGAAGGCGACUGUCUGGGCUAAUACUGACGCUGAGGUACGAAAGCGUGGGUAGCGAACAGG